GCAUUGGUGGUUCAGUGGUAGAAUUUGCGCCUCCCAAGCGGGAGACCUGGGUCCGAUUCCCGGCCAAUGCA
This is a non-coding RNA of Danio rerio (zebrafish), 71 nucleotides long. The record is from Rfam. Lineage: Eukaryota; Metazoa; Chordata; Actinopteri; Cypriniformes; Danionidae.